This 130-nucleotide non-coding RNA is filed under the name Acinetobacter sp. RNAcentral describes it as "TPP sequence". It matches the Rfam family "TPP riboswitch aptamer (THI element)". From Rfam's summary of the family: Vitamin B(1) in its active form thiamin pyrophosphate (TPP) is an essential coenzyme that is synthesised by coupling of pyrimidine and thiazole moieties in bacteria. The previously detected thiamin-regulatory element, thi box was extended, resulting in a new, highly conserved RNA secondary structure, the THI element, which is widely distributed in eubacteria and also occurs in some archaea. Analysis of operon structures identified a large number of new candidate thiamin-regulated genes, mostly transporters, in various prokaryotic organisms. Lineage: Bacteria; Pseudomonadati; Pseudomonadota; Gammaproteobacteria; Moraxellales; Moraxellaceae. The record is from RNAcentral.
CAUCGCUUGACGGAGCGCGAGUAAUCACUCGCUGAGAUUGGGUCAGUUGUUCGUUUGAAUGAACUUAAACCCAAGUACCGUUGAACCUGAUCAGGUUAAGACCUGCGUAGGAAUCAAGCCAUCUAAAAAC